Molecule: ribosomal RNA, 585 nt
Filed under: uncultured bacterium
Lineage: Bacteria
Description: partial 16S ribosomal RNA
Rfam family: Bacterial small subunit ribosomal RNA
Source: RNAcentral
UGGGGAAUUUUGGACAAUGGGCGAAAGCCUGAUCCAGCAAUGCCGCGUGUGUGAAGAAGGCCUUCGGGUUGUAAAGCACUUUUGUCCGGAAAGAAAUCCUUGGCUCUAAUACAGUCGGGGGAUGACGGUACCGGAAGAAUAAGCACCGGCUAACUACGUGCCAGCAGCCGCGGUAAUACGUAGGGUGCAAGCGUUAAUCGGAAUUACUGGGCGUAAAGCGUGCGCAGGCGGUUUGCUAAGACCGAUGUGAAAUCCCCGGGCUCAACCUGGGAACUGCAUUGGUGACUGGCAGGCUAGAGUAUGGCAGAGGGGGGUAGAAUUCCACGUGUAGCAGUGAAAUGCGUAGAGAUGUGGAGGAAUACCGAUGGCGAAGGCAGCCCCUGGGCCAAUACUGACGCUCAUGCACGAAAGCGUGGGGAGCAAACAGGAUUAGAUACCCUGGUAGUCCACGCCCUAAACGAUGUCAACUAGUUGUUGGGGAUUGCAUUUCCUUAGUAACGUAGCUAACGCGUGAAGUUGACCGCCUGGGGAGUACGGUCGCAAGAUUAAAACUCAAAGGAAUUGACGGGGUCAUAGCUGUUUCCU